This 443-nucleotide ribosomal RNA is filed under the name uncultured bacterium. Its description in RNAcentral is "partial 16S ribosomal RNA". It matches the Rfam family "Bacterial small subunit ribosomal RNA", at positions 338 to 795 of the family's 1533-position model. The record is from RNAcentral.
CCUACGGGUGACAGCAGUGGGGAAUAUUGGGCAAUGGAGGCAACUCUGACCCAGCAACGCCGCGUGAAUGAUGAAGGUCUUCGGAUUGUAAAGUUCUGUGAUGGGGGAUGAACACAAUGACGCUACCCCAAUAUCAAGCCACUGCUAACUACGUGCCACCAGCCGCGGUAAUACGUAGGUGGCAAUCGUUAUCCGGAAUUACUGGGCGUAAAGGGUGCGUAGGUUGUUUAGUAAGUUGGCGGUUUAAUUCCGGGGCUCAACCUCGUAUGUACCGCUGAAACCAUCAGGCUAGAGUGAAGGAGAGGUAAGUGGAAUUCCUAGUGUAGCGGUGAAAUGCUUAGAUAUUAGGAGGAACAUCAGGGGCGAAGGCGACUUACUGGACUGUAACUGACACUGAGGCACGAAAGCGUGGGGAGCAAACAGGAUUAGAUACCCCGGUAGUC